This 3552-nucleotide long non-coding RNA is filed under the name Homo sapiens (human). Its description in RNAcentral is "HSALNT0144864". Lineage: Eukaryota; Metazoa; Chordata; Mammalia; Primates; Hominidae. The record is from RNAcentral.
GCCUGAACCUGGGAGGCAGAGGUUGCAGUGAGACGAGGUUGCACCACUGCAUUCCAGCCUGGGCGACAGAGCAAGACUCCAUCUCAAAAAAAAAAAGAAAAAAGAAAAAAGAAAGGCCCUGUCACUGCUCUCAUGGAGCCAGGGGUGGGGGACAGGGGUGAGGGGUGUAAUUCAAGUUAUGACAGAAAUGCACAUGGAGUCACAACCUGUGAUGAAGCCGCAGGGACUCUGAAGACACCACAGUGUGAGCUGGCGGCGUUUGGUUGGCAAUGGGGCAGGGGGCUGGGGCCGGAGGGAGAGCCCCAGGGUGGGAGAAUGGCUUGUGCAGAUGCUGUGCAUAAAAAACAAGGACUUGUAAAAAAGAAAAUUUAGGCCUGGUGCGGUGGCUCACGCCUGUAAUCCCAGCCCUUUGGGAGGCCGAGGCGGGGUAUCACCUGAGGUUGGGAGUUUGAGACCAGCCUGACCAACGUGGAGAAAACCCACCUCUACUAAAAAUACAAAAUCAGCCGGGUGUGGUGGCGCAUUCCUGUAAUCCCAGCUACUCGGGAGGCUGAGGGCAGGAGAAUAGCUUGAACCAGGAGGCAGAGGUUGCAGUGAGCCAAGAUUGCGCCAUUGCACUCCAGCCUGGGCAACGAGGGCAAAACUCCGCCUCAAAGAAAAAAAAAAGAAAGAAAGAAAAGGAAAAAUUAGCUGGGCGUAGCGGCGUGUGUCUGCAGUUCCAGCUACUUGGGAGGCUGAGGCAGGAGGAUCGCUUGAGCCCAGGAGUUCCAGGCUGCAGUGAGCUAUGAUUGCUUCACUGCACUCCAGUUUGGGUGACAAAGUGAAACCCCAUCUAUAAAACAACAACAACAAAACAACAAAAAUAAGGACCCGAUGCAGGAGCCCCAAGAAGCCAGCCUGCUGAGGGGAGGGGUGGGAAAGGCAGGGAGGGGAGUUUCAUGACUGAGAUGGGGUCUGACCCGGGACAGAUCGUUAGGCUCGUCGCUAGCAUCAUGAUCAUCACUACGGUCUUCUUAUCACCAAAGCUACACCUCUCCAGUAUAGAAAAAGAAAAGCAGAUAGGCAAAAAGAAGGAAAAGAGUCUGGGCACAGUGGCUUAUGCCUGUAAUCCCAGCACUUUGGGAGGCCGAGGGAGGCGGAUCACUUAAAGUCAGGAGUUCGAGACCAGCCUGGGCAUCAGGGCAAAACCACCUCUCUACUAAAAUUACAAAAAUUAGCUGGGUGUGGUGGCACAUGCCUGUAAUCCCAGCUACUCAGGAGGCUGAGGCAGGAGAAUCGCUUGAACCUGGGAGGCAGAGGUUGCAGUGAGCCGAGAUCGCACCGCUGUACUCCAGCCUGAGCGACAGAGCAAGACUCCGUCUCAAAAAAAAAAAAAAAAAAGAAAAAAAGAAAGAAAAACCUCAUGCUUCCACCCACAAUCCUGCCUCACUCAGAUUUCUGGUGUGUGCCCCUCCAGACCUUUCCUAUUGAUUUAGGCCUUGAAGGACAAGGAGGAGCUCACCAGAGACGGAAGGUGCUUGGGCCUGAGGAGCAGCCUGGAGGAAGGUGAGCGGCGGAGUGAGCUCCAUGCAGAGGAUCCUGCUAGGAAUCCCGCUCCUCCACGCCGUAUUGGCAACCUGAAGGCGGGAGUGAGUCAGCAUCCCUCAGUAACAGAGUGAGUGGGAGCGGGGAAGGAGCCAUGCAGAUUCCAGACGCACCUCAGGUCCUGGCUGGGGUCAGCCCAUCUGACUUGGGCGAAGGUCUACACAUCUCUGCUUCCUCGCUGUGAUCUCCCAGAUAACCGCCCGUGAAGAAGUCUGUGCCCUCGGCCCUAAGCUGUGAACCUGCUGCCUUCCAUGGCAAAAGGGACUGUGGAGGUGUGAGUCAGUUCAUGACCUUGACUGGGGAGGUGAUCCUGGGUUACUUAGGUGGCCCAGCGGAAUGGCAUGAACCCCAGAAGAGGAGGACAAAGGCAGAAGAGCCCGUCUGAGAGAAGUGACGGCAGAGGAGGAGGCAGGGAGGUGCCGUGUGCUCAUCAGCCAUCAUCGGCUUUGCAAGCUGGUAGGGGGCUGCCCGUAGACGCUGAGACUGGUCCCCACUGACCCCAGCAAGGUGACAACACCUCAGUCCCAUACUGCAAGGAUCUGCAUUCUGCAGACAAUGCAAAUGAGCACAGAAAAGGGAUUCUCCACUGGCCCCCAUUACGGAACUGCAGGGUUAUACAUUGUGCCGUUGUCAGCCUCUAACUUUGUAGAAGUUUGUGAUGGCAGCAAAGAAAACAAAUGGACUCUGCGAACUCCCUUUCCCUGGGGAGGAGGGGCUGGUCCUCAUCCGGUCCUGGGGUGGCCCCGGGCCCCGCUCUCCUGAAUGGAUGUGCAAGGCCAUUUCUCUGUGGUCUCUGUCUGGAACGUGGGCGCAGACGGGAGCUUGGGAAGUCCAAGCUUACUUGGCUUUGUGCCCAAACCAAGCUCUGGAUAUGAGUGCACUUGUUUAAAAAAAAAAAAAAAAAAAAAGGCAAGCACUGACCCACUUUUUCCUGACUGCUCUGGCUCAGACACUUCCCUCUAAAAGGACAUUUAUUUCAAGAACACGCUGUUCCCAGGGCUGACAUCCCCCACCUCCACUGGAAGCAGAAGCACUAACAAGAGACUGCAAGAUCUGGCGUCCGGUAUCUGAUAAUGGAGCAAAUGUUCCACCGAAAGCUGGGCCUGAUGGCUGCAUCCGCCUGGCGCUGGAGGGGCUGGGAGUUUGGCCUGAGCAAACUCAGUUGCUUAAAACAACACAAAUUUAUUUAUUUUUUUAAUUUUAUCUUUUUAAGUCCCAGGCUACAUACGCAGGCUGUGCAGGUUUGUUGCAUAGGUAAAUGUGUGUCACGGUGGUUUGCUGCACCUAUCAACCCAUCAUCUAGGUUUAAGCACAGCAUGCCUUAGCUGUUUUUUCUAAUGUUCUGCCCCCACCCCCCACCAGGACCCCAGUGUGUGUGGUUCUCCUCCCUGAGCCCACGUGUUCUCGUUGUUCAGCUCCCACUUAUAAGUGAGAACAUGCAGUGUUUAGUUUUCUGUUCCUGUGUUAGUUUGCUGAGGAUAAUGGCUUCUAGCUCCAUCCAUGUCCCUGAAAAGACAUGAUCUUGUUCCUUUUUCUUUUUUUUGAGACAGUUUCCCUCUCGUUGCCCAGGCUGGAGUGCAAUGGCCCGAUCUCAGCUCACUGCCUCCCAGGUUCAAGCGAUUCUCCUGCCUCAGUCUCCUGUGUAGCUGGGAUAACAGGCAUGCACCACCACACCCAGCUAAUUUUGUAUUUUUAGUAGAGGUGGAGUUUCACCGUGUUAAUCGGGCUGGUCCCGAACUCCUGAUCUCAGGUGAUCCACCCACCUCUGCCUCCUGAAGUGCUGGGAUUAUAGGCAUGAGCCACCACGCUUGGCCUUAUUCCUUUUUAUGGCUGCAUAUUAUUCCACAGUGUAUGAUAUGGUUUGACUCUGUGUCCCCACCCAAACCUCAUCUAGAAUUGUACUCCCAUAAUUCCCACAUGUUGUAGGAGGAAACUGGUGGGAGAGAAUUUGAAUCAUGGGUGCGGUUC